This 1172-nucleotide ribosomal RNA is filed under the name uncultured Bacteroides sp. RNAcentral describes it as "bacterial SSU rRNA". It matches the Rfam family "Bacterial small subunit ribosomal RNA", at positions 10 to 1177 of the family's 1533-position model. Lineage: Bacteria; Pseudomonadati; Bacteroidota; Bacteroidia; Bacteroidales; Bacteroidaceae. The record is from RNAcentral.
AGUUUGAUCCUGGCUCAGGAUGAACGCUAGCUACAGGCUUAACACAUGCAAGCCGAGGGGCAGCGGGAUUGAAGCUUGCUUCAAUUGCCGGCGACCGGCGCACGGGUGAGUAACGCGUAUCCAACCUUCCGUACACUCAGGGAUAGCCUUUCGAAAGAAAGAUUAAUACCUGAUGGUAUGAUGAGAUUGCAUGAUAGCAUCAUUAAAGAUUUAUCGGUGUACGAUGGGGAUGCGUUCCAUUAGGUAGUAGGCGGGGUAACGGCCCACCUAGCCAACGAUGGAUAGGGGUUCUGAGAGGAAGGUCCCCCACAUUGGAACUGAGACACGGUCCAAACUCCUACGGGAGGCAGCAGUGAGGAAUAUUGGUCAAUGGACGAGAGUCUGAACCAGCCAAGUAGCGUGAAGGAUGAAGGUCCUACGGAUUGUAAACUUCUUUUAUAAGGGAAUAAACCCUCCCACGUGUGGGAGCUUGUAUGUACCUUAUGAAUAAGCAUCGGCUAACUCCGUGCCAGCAGCCGCGGUAAUACGGAGGAUGCGAGCGUUAUCCGGAUUUAUUGGGUUUAAAGGGAGCGCAGACGGGUCGUUAAGUCAGCUGUGAAAGUUUGGGGCUCAACCUUAAAAUUGCAGUUGAUACUGGCGUCCUUGAGUGCGGUUGAGGUGUGCGGAAUUCGUGGUGUAGCGGUGAAAUGCUUAGAUAUCACGAAGAACUCCGAUUGCGAAGGCAGCACACUAAUCCGUAACUGACGUUCAUGCUCGAAAGUGUGGGUAUCAAACAGGAUUAGACACCCUGGUAGUCCACACGGUAAACGAUGGAUACUCGCUGUUGGCGAUAUACUGUCAGCGGCUUAGCGAAAGCGUUAAGUAUCCCACCUGGGGAGUACGCCGGCAACGGUGAAACUCAAAGGAAUUGACGGGGGCCCGCACAAGCGGAGGAACAUGUGGUUUAAUUCGAUGAUACGCGAGGAACCUUACCCGGGCUUAAAUUGCAAAGGAAUAAUCUGGAAACAGGUUAGUCUUCGGACCUUUGUGAAGGUGCUGCAUGGUUGUCGUCAGCUCGUGCCGUGAGGUGUCGGCUUAAGUGCCAUAACGAGCGCAACCCUCGCCGCCAGUUACUAACAGUUAAAGCUGAGGACUCUGGCGGGACUGCCAUCGUAAGAUGUGAGGAAGGUGGA